This is a long non-coding RNA of Amphimedon queenslandica, 578 nucleotides long. RefSeq lists it as uncharacterized. NCBI's taxonomy places the organism in Eukaryota, Metazoa, Porifera, Demospongiae, Haplosclerida, Niphatidae. The transcript is spliced from 3 exons. The record is from RefSeq and is a predicted model, not a curated record.
GCGACGUCUGAAUCUGACUACCCCUCAAUCAAACAGGAAAUGUUCCACACAAAGUUUCUCCAAUCUAGAUGAAACUCAGCAAGAACACCAGUAUAAUGUUUAGGAACAGCCACAUAUGCUCACAUUUUGAUAGUUUGUCUUGUAAGGAGAGAUAUAGGAUAAGCCCAUUGCUGCCCUGUAUAAAUGAAUUUAAUAAUAUACGGAGAAAAUUGCUUUGUAUACUAAUCCGUGUCCACUCAUUUCUGGACAUGGAAUAAACAGACAAUUCAGUAACAUAGGAGCUAUAGAUAUUUCAGAAGUUCUUAUUCCAGACUAUGUCAAUUCACCUCCCCCUGUUAAAGAUACAGAGGAAAUACUUUAUGGAAUAAGCUCACAUUGGGGAAAACAGUACUUUCUUGGUCACUAUCCAAUAAUAGAUUGUACUAAAUCUGAUGAAAAUUGUUUAUUCAGUAGAAACUUUAUUUGCUCAACUAUAAAGUCAAUUGAGGUUACAACAAGCAUGCAUGAAUAGACUGUUACUUUUUACAUAAUUUUAUAGCCAAAAUUAACUUGUGAGAGAGCUUUUGUUAUAAUAUUGA